AACCUCCUCGUGGUUAUUACGUGCUAAACUUAAAAGCCUACCAAAAGAAAGAGUGGUCUUUCAAACAAAGCCAAGGAAUCUAAGGAAGAAGAUUGGGACAAGUGGUGGCUUAUAGACUCAAUCUACCCAUUUAUUUAGGAGAGAUCUUUAUUUAUUUAUUUGAUGUAAAAUGGUGCAUUAGAGUGUUUAAACGUGUGCACGCUUCAUGAUCUCUUAUGCAUGUCGGGAGGCGG
Molecule: long non-coding RNA, 233 nt
Filed under: Elaeis guineensis (African oil palm)
Lineage: Eukaryota; Viridiplantae; Streptophyta; Magnoliopsida; Arecales; Arecaceae
Description: long non-coding RNA (EGUI_LNC004312)
Source: RNAcentral